RNAcentral lists this ribosomal RNA (253 nucleotides) under uncultured bacterium. RNAcentral describes it as "partial 16S ribosomal RNA". It matches the Rfam family "Bacterial small subunit ribosomal RNA", at positions 524 to 776 of the family's 1533-position model. The record is from RNAcentral.
UACGUAGGGGGCAAGCGUUGUCCGGAUUUAUUGGGCGUAAAGAGCGUGUAGGCGGCCAUACAGGUCAGCUGUGAAAACUCGAGGCUCAACCUCGAGACGUCGGUUGAAACCGUAUGGCUAGAGUCCGGAAGAGGAGAGUGGAAUUCCCGGUGUAGCGGUGAAAUGCGCAGAUAUUGGGAGGAACACCAGUGGUGAAGGCGGCCCCCUGGUUGGAUACUGACGCUGAGACGCGAAAGCGUGGGGAGCAAACAGG